This 462-nucleotide ribosomal RNA is filed under the name uncultured bacterium. RNAcentral's name for it is "partial 16S ribosomal RNA". It matches the Rfam family "Bacterial small subunit ribosomal RNA", at positions 28 to 507 of the family's 1533-position model. The record is from RNAcentral.
GACGAACGCUGGCGGCGUGCUUAACACAUGCAAGUCGAGCGGUAAGGCCUUUCGGGGUACACGAGCGGCGAACGGGUGAGUAACACGUGGGUGAUCUGCCCUGCACUUCGGGAUAAGCCUGGGAAACUGGGUCUAAUACCGGAUAUGACCUCCUAUCGCAUGGUGGGUGGUGGAAAGAUUUAUCGGUGCAGGAUGGGCCCGCGGCCUAUCAGCUUGUUGGUGGGGUAAUGGCCUACCAAGGCGACGACAGGUAGCCGACCUGAGAGGGUGACCGGCCACACUGGGACUGAGACACGGCCCAGACUCCUACGGGAGGCAGCAGUGGGGAAUAUUGCACAAUGGGCGAAAGCCUGAUGCAGCGACGCCGCGUGAGGGAUGACGGCCUUCGGGUUGUAAACCUCUUUCAGCAGGGACGAAGCGCAAGUGACGGUACCUGCAGAAGAAGCACCGGCUAACUACGUG